UGUAGGCCAGAUGCGGGCAACUGGGUGGAACUGACAGCAAGAGAAUCCAGGUUACUUGAAUUGUCUUGCCCUCUUUUGAUGAAGCCAAGGCUCAACUCUUCUGGGGACAGGAAGCAACGACUUGCCCCUCGCCACUACCCUCAGGAAUUUCUGUGGCCACACCGUACCCCUGAAUGCUCCCUCGGUGACUGAAAGCAACUUGUGUUUUGCCGUCGGAGAUGGGGAAUAAAACCUAAGUCAUUAACACGAAUGCUAGGGGAGUCCAGGAGGUUGGCUCUCCAGAAUACAUGAUCAGGAAGCCCUUUAUCUCUGUCAACAAGAGAGAUCCAGAGAUGGAGCCCAAUGGAUCACAAUGACUUUUUGACCUGUGUUUCCUGUUACAUGGUGCAUCCAGAGAAUGAGGAGCAUUUUCCUAAAGAGAGGCCAGGUUCAUCCCAGUGGAUCCAAUACUGUAUUCAUCUGCUCCUGAAAAACAAAUAUCAGAGUUAUUUAUUUAUUCAAGUUUUGUUUGAGACAUUUCACCCUAUUAUCCUCUGGCUGGACCACUGGACCUGCACUCAGAAAUGGGAACCAGCUGACUAAAUAAACACUUGCCUAUGGAAAAAGAAGCAGGAAACACGUUUCCAAAACGAGUAAUAUUAACAAACUUCCAAGGGAUAUACAAUCCAUAAUUAAUGACAAUUUGGAGGAAAAAAGACAUAAAAACUUGGAAUUGAAAUAUGACUCUGAGAACAGGUUGGUGAGAGUUUUUUUUUCUCUCAGUAUCUGUCCACCCUUUUUUCUGGCCCCUUUCCCUUCUGACAGCCACAUUUAUUCAAAUUCUUUCUGUAAAUGUCUUUAGUCUGAGGAUUUAGAUCUUGGGGUUCAAUAUUUCUUGCCUGGACUCCCAGAGUGACCUGUUGAUAGGAGCUUAUUAAAAAAAAUCUCAGUAUGUCAUGUGACCCAAUGUAACUGAUUCUAGCUAAACUCACAGGAGGGUUGGUCUUCUGGCAAGGCUGCCUUUGGGGUCGGAUUCAGUGACAAUGGACCACAUACUAGGGCAGACUCCAGUCUAAGAGCCUAGGCCAAGAUUCAGCAGGCCUCGGGUGCCUCGAGAAUGGGUUUGACCUCCUGGAUCUGCUCCUUGAGAGAAGCACUCCAUCUAAGUCCCCCGCACCAGCCCCUACAAUGCCAAAAUUCAGGAGCCAUUCACCCGCAUGCGCCAGGCUAUCAUAUCACUCUCCAGUCUUUCUCUCAAGUGUGUUUGGGACAGAAAUGGCUAGUGACCCCUGAAGAGUCAUGGUCUCCUUGCAAGUGAACAGUUGCUGUUGAAAAGCAGCUGACCAUAAAGCACUGCAUUUCUGAGACUACCCCCACCUUCCCACUACCCACAGUCCUCCCUGGGUGAUUCAUUCUAGCCAGUGAAAUACGAGCCUGAGUGAUGUGACAUUUUCCAGCUGAGGUGGUUAGGUAGCCAGUGUUUCCCCUCACUUUCUUCCCUCCUUGUAGCACUAAGGUAGCAGCCCGCAUCCCUGAGUCACUGUAUGGAUGAGAAGCCCAGGAGAGCUGCCUGGCCAGGACCAUCUGAUUAGAGUUUUUAUGAGCAGGAAACAAACUUUUGUGUUUGGCUGUUAGUAUAUUGAGAUGUUUAUUCCCCCACUAGCCUAUACUGACCAAGAUCAUGCCCGUGCAGCAUUGCCCAAAUAUGCCUUAGGAUAAGUGGGAUUUCCCCAACUCCUAACUUUCUCUGUGCAGAAGAGUCCAGUCCAGUCCUUCCUAUGUCCCUGUGGCCUUGUUGGAGUCUCUGUGAGUCUCUCUCUCUGUCUCUCUCUCUCUCUCUAUGCUCCCAAAUGGAGCCUCUCUGUGAGGAAACAGUAAAGCGCAUGUAGAAGUUAAAAGCAUGGUCUAUGAGUCAGACUGCUCAGGUUUAACUCCAAACUCCACCACUCACUAACAGGUGAGACCUUGAGCAAAUAGUUUAACGUCUCUGGCUUCAAAUCCUCUCUC
Molecule: long non-coding RNA, 1986 nt
Filed under: Canis lupus familiaris (dog)
Lineage: Eukaryota; Metazoa; Chordata; Mammalia; Carnivora; Canidae
Description: lncRNA (ENSCAFG00000053224.1, ENSCAFG00845028302.1)
Source: RNAcentral